CUUGGCUCCACAUCCCACGGGGGAGAAGAACUGCCGGCGAGGCGCUGGUCACAUCUUUUCCAACUCUUUUAAUUCCCCCUCUCCAGCCGGAGCCGGUGCUCGCCGCCCGCCUCCUCAGCCAUACUGGUGCGGUACUGGCGCGAUACUGGUGGCACUGGGCUCGCAGAACUUCUCAGCUGCGUUGCACUUCGAUUUGAGGUGCGUGUGGCCGCGCCGGGGAUGCGGCGCGCAAAGAACGCGACUGGCUGGGAGAGAGUUUAUUUUGUUUAUUUCUGCUCUUCCUUCCCCUCCCUCUCCCAGUUUAGCCCAGGAACUCCUGCAGCAUUGGUUAAUCCUCGAGGAGGGAGAACUGCUGAGAUCUUUAGCGAGCUCUCCCCUACCACGGAUACUUCCUAUAGCUCUGGCGUCUCUGUGAGGGAUGUACAGCUACGAGAUGUGAAGAUUCUUCUGACCAGGGGAACCUCGUGGGGUUGCUUCUGCUGUGUUCACCCAUGGACAAGCUCAGCUGCUGCUUAAGUUCUCUGGAUGCACUGGAGGUGUUGAAAGUUGGGGUCAGCUCUAGCAAUGCCAACCCAACCCUGGUGUCCUGAUGUGUCCCCACCACAGGAUCUGUCUUUCUGCUCCGCCCGGAAUCCCCCGGCUCAGAGCCCUCCUGGCAGCGGGGUCGUGGGGUGGGAGGUCACUCGUCGCGUGGACACGAGUUCAAGAUAGAAUGUGGCAGCAGGACCCACCAGGGACCACACCAGCCAAAAUCACAGCGACUCCUCCUCCAGCAGCCCGAGCGGGCUGUCAGGCGCGCAGGAAUGCAGCCGCUUCUCCCUCCCUAUCAGGGAUUCCAAGAGAAAGCAGCAGCGACAGGGAAUGUUUGCCUCCAGGCCUGUUUGCCAGUGCAAAAGUGUUGCGACCUGCUGAUGGAGACAGGUUAUGUAUCGUUACAGCAUAAAUUAUGGAAAGGGCUGGAAUUCCUGUUUGAGCAGCUUCAUGAAAAACUGAACUUUGACUGAACACAAACAGCAAAUAAAGCGGGAAACGAGAUAAAAAAUGAUGCAGGCCUCAGUUUCUUUGAAGGUGAAAUGACUGAUCCCAGGUGUCAGCACCUCAGAGACCCGCUCAGCCUUUUAUAGGACUCUUGGACAGUUUAUAGACACCAGCUGACACCUGUAAAGUUCACCUGAAGCUGUUCAGAAGUUUAAAACACCUCAUUGCAAUUUAUCUGGAACUAUUAAUGCACAAAAAGGCAAAAAUUGAUUAGAGUGGCUGAGGAACUCUUCUGUCCUGUCUUUAAAAAGUGGAUGUAAACCUGUCAGCUUUUACAGCUGUCCUCACACUGCUUCAACUAAACAUAUAUUUGGAGAGGAGAUCUGGCAUUUCUCUCCCAGCCCAGAGUCCUGCUGCUCCUGGUGCCAGGUCCAGAGCAGGGAUGGGGUGUGAGGCAGCUUCUGCAGCAUCAGCAGCAUCAGCUUCAUCAACAUCAUCAACAUCAGCGGCAUCAGCAGGAUCAACAUCUUCAUUCCUUCCCAAGAAAAGUACUGA
Manacus vitellinus (golden-collared manakin) is the source of this 1533-nucleotide long non-coding RNA. RefSeq lists it as uncharacterized. The transcript is spliced from 5 exons. NCBI's taxonomy places the organism in Eukaryota, Metazoa, Chordata, Aves, Passeriformes, Pipridae. The record is from RefSeq and is a predicted model, not a curated record.